AUACAAGCAACCUCUCUCUCACUUUUUCCCUCUCUCUCUCUCACACACAGUCUCAGACAUUUGACACACAACCUACAUUCUCACGUGCCCCCAGACACAUACACCCUUGAACACAUUCUGGCUGAUGACACGCUUGCUGCCUAUGUGCAAAAACACACACCAGCUCACGUAACACUCACACAUCCACACAUUCACACGCACUCAUACUUUCCCUCUCUGUCUCUCUCUCUCACACACACACACUCAGUCUCUCUCUCACCUGCACAACAUGCUUCUGGCAGAGCACCCGCAGCUGUACUAACCUGCCCGCCUUUGUUCCCAGGCCUGGCCUCAGCAGCAUUUUCCCAGGCCCAGGCUUCCUUUAGCUGCUGCUUCCCUGUUUCCCUCUGAGCCUGGUCACUGGGCCCUGACUCAACACCGGUGUGUACGUGUCAGGAGUCGUGCAGCGUCACAAGCCCUGCUGGAUGUGAACACGCUGUCCCGACAGUGUUGUUACCGGUUGUAAGACGCCUCUCCUACUGACUCCUCAUUCCUGCUGGCAACCUUUACUUCCAAAUAAGGAAAUGGAUGCUUAGAAAACUGAAAUGGGGACUUCCUUGGUGGUACAGUGAAUAGAAAUCUGCUUGCUAAUGCAGGGGACACAGAUUCGAUCUCUGGUCCGGGAAGAUCCCACAUCCUUGCAGCAACAAGAGCCUGUGUGCCCCAACUACUGAGCCUGUGCUCUAGAGCCUGCGCUCUGCAACAAGAGAAGCCACUGCAAUGAGAAGCCCGAGCAUGGCAAUGAGGAGUAGCCUCAGCUUACUGCAACUAGGGAAAGCCUCAGUGCAGCAGUGAAGACCCAGUGCAACUAACAAUAAAUAAAUAAAUUUAAAAAAAAAAGAAAAUUGAAAUGCUUUCCAAGGAGAUACUCCUCUGUGGUGCUGGGAACCAAACCCAAAUCCAUUGAUUCCAAACGCAUUUGCUCUCGUGGCUGUGACAGCGACUAUUAAGACUAUCCGAUGGAGUGCCUCCCCUGUGUUGCCUCGUGUGGAUUGUACAGACCGGACGGUUCUUGUUGAGUGAACACUGGGCUGAGUUUUGCUCCUUCAGCCGGGCCCUAGGCUCCCUGGUCUCACACCACAGGAUGGGGCACUGUGUCAUAGGCUGAUAUCCCCCAAUACCGAGCACUUCCAAGCUCCAAACUGGAACGGCCAACUGCCCACCAUGGAAGCGGCUUCUGUUCCUUUCACUGCAGCCAUCACCGGGCACGCCGCCCAGAACUCCCUUCCAGGAAGGCCUUUCUGCUCCAGUGGCAGGGAAUGCCAUCUGCCUCCAGCUGUUGGCUGUCAGCCCCUUCCAGGAUGGCCUCAGCUGGAGAGAACCUCCUUGUCCAAGUUCAUGUAGCUUCUUGAGGAGGCCUCGUCCAAUCACUGCUUAGAGCGGGAAUAUAAAGGCUCAGCCUUCUGGCCCUAUUUGGAACAGCUCUGAAAGGCCAUCCAUGUUCUGGGACUCCCAGAGGGGUGAGCUGAUGUGCCAUUUAUCUCUUGCUGCAUCACAAACCACCGCAGAACAGAAUAUGGCUUCAAACGACGACAUUCACUUUGCUGAUGCAUCUGGGCCAGGUUCCAGGUAGGGGAGUGGACAGAGGUCAUUCGUCUCUGCCCUACUCAGU
This is a long non-coding RNA of Bos taurus (domestic cattle), 1651 nucleotides long. The record is from Ensembl. Lineage: Eukaryota; Metazoa; Chordata; Mammalia; Artiodactyla; Bovidae.